CUACGGGAGGCAGCAGGCGCGAAACCUCUACAAUGCACGCAAGUGUGAUAGGGGAAUCCCAAGUGCUUAUGCUCUGCAUAGGCUUUUGCCAUGAGUAAAAAUCAUGGCGAAUAAGUGGGGGGAAAGACUGGUGCCAGCCGCCGCGGUAACACCAGCGCCACAAGUGGCAGCCACAUUUAUUGGGCCUAAAGCGUCCGUAGCCGGUUCAGUAAAUCUUUUGUGAAAUUGUCAGGCUUAACCUGACAACGUGCAGAAGACACUGCUGAACUUGAGACCGGCAGGGGUUGGAAGUAUUCCAGGGGGAGCGGUAAAAUGCUAUAAUCCCUGGCAGACUACCUAUGGCGAAGGCAUCCAACCAGGACGGAUCUGACGGUGAGGGACGAAAGCUAGGGGAGCAAAACGGAUUAGAUACCCCAGUAGUC
This 422-nucleotide ribosomal RNA is filed under the name uncultured archaeon. RNAcentral describes it as "partial 16S ribosomal RNA". It matches the Rfam family "Archaeal small subunit ribosomal RNA", at positions 323 to 746 of the family's 1478-position model. The record is from RNAcentral.